GUCAAAUCGGAGUCGAAGUAAACAAGCAUAGCAACUGGUUUGUUUGUACUUGCUCAAUUCAAAUCAACUCAACAACAAGUCUUAUCAGUGAAAACUAUUCAUACCGGACAGAACCAGGACGUCAGAUCUGCCCUUUCUUGCUUUAUGGAAGUUCGAUUCUGAUGAUUUUCCUCCUUGUGGUUUCCACUGUAGUUGUUAGAUGGGGCUGCAGGAACCAAAACGCAGCUGAUAGAGCCAAGAAAUAUAAUUUCUCAGAUUCGAGGCAUCGUGACAAAGAAAAGGAG
Long non-coding RNA from Rhincodon typus (whale shark), 284 nucleotides. RefSeq lists it as uncharacterized. NCBI's taxonomy places the organism in Eukaryota, Metazoa, Chordata, Chondrichthyes, Orectolobiformes, Rhincodontidae. The record is from RefSeq and is a predicted model, not a curated record. The transcript has 3 exons.